Molecule: ribosomal RNA, 855 nt
Filed under: Llimoniella gregorellae
Lineage: Eukaryota; Fungi; Ascomycota; Leotiomycetes; Helotiales; Cordieritidaceae
Description: LSU rRNA
Rfam family: Eukaryotic large subunit ribosomal RNA
Source: RNAcentral
UUGCCCUAGUAACGGCGAGUGAAGCGGCAGCAGCUCAAAUUUGAAAUCUGGUCUCCCCUCGAGGCCCGAGUUGUAAUUUGGAGAAGACGCUUCGAGAGCGGCCCCGGUCUAAGUUCCUUGGAACAGGACGUCACAGAGGGUGAGAAUCCCGUACGCGACUGGGUGUCCGCGCUCGUGUGAAGCUCUUUCGACGAGUCGAGUUGUUUGGGAAUGCAGCUCAAAAUGGGUGGUAUAUUUCAUCUAAAGCUAAAUAUGGGCCAGAGACCGAUAGCGCACAAGUAGAGUGAUCGAAAGAUGAAAAGCACUUUGGAAAGAGAGUCAAACAGUACGUGAAAUUGUUGAAAGGGAAGCGCUUGCCGCCAGACUUGUGCGUGGCCGAUCAUCCGGGGCUCCCCCCGGUGCACUCGGUCACGCCCAGGCCAGCGUCGGUCCCAGUGGGUGGAGAAGGGUCCCGGGAACGUGGCUCCCCUCGGGGAGUGUUAUAGCCCGGGGUGCCAUGCGCCCUACCGGGACCGAGGACCGCGCUCCGGCUAGGAAGCUGGCAUAAUGGCGGCAAGCGACCCGUCUUGAAACACGGACCAAGGAGUCUAAUAUCUAUGCGAGUAUUUGGGUGCUAAACCCAUCUGCGUAAUGAAAGUGAACGGGGUGAGAACCCUCUCACCUGGGGGGCAUCAUCGACCGAUCCGGAUGUUCUCGGAUGGAUUUGAGUAAGAGCAUAGCUGUUGGGACCCGAAAGAGAGUGAACUUUACGUGGAUAGGGUGAAGUCAGAGGAAACUCUGAUGGAGGCUCGCAGCGGUUCUGACGUGCAAAUCGAUCGUCAAAUCUGCGUAAAGGGGCGAAAGACCAAUCGACUU